Gopherus flavomarginatus (Mexican gopher tortoise) is the source of this 1227-nucleotide long non-coding RNA. RefSeq lists it as uncharacterized. The record is from RefSeq and is a predicted model, not a curated record. NCBI's taxonomy places the organism in Eukaryota, Metazoa, Chordata, Testudines, Testudinidae. The transcript is spliced from 8 exons.
CAGUGACAGAGCCAGUGGCUGAGGGCCUGGGUAUGGGGGGCAGUGACGUAGCCAGUGGCCGAGGGGCUGUGUUUGGGGUUCAGUGACGGAGCUAGUGGCCGAGGGGCCAGGUUUGCGGUGCAGUGACGGAGCUGGUGGCCGAGGGGCCGGGUUUGGGGGGCAGUGAUGGAGCCGGUGGCCGAGAGGCUGGGUAUGGGUUUGGGGUGCAGUGACAGAGCUGGUGGCUGAGGGGCUGGGUUUGGGGGGCAGUGACGGAGCCGGUGGCCGAGGGGCCAGGUCUGGGGUUCAGUGACAGAGCCGGUGGCCGAGGGGCCAGGUCUGGGCUUCAGUGACGGAGCCGGUGGCCGAGGGGCCAGGUUUGGGGUUCAGUGACGGAGCUGGUGGCCGAGAGGCCAGGUUUGGGGGGCAGUGAUGGAGCCGGUGGCCGAGGGGCUGCGUAUGGGGGGCGGUGACGGACCUGGUGGCCGAGGGGCUGGGUAUGGGUUUGGGGUGCAGUGACAGAGCUGGUGGCCGAGGGGCUGGGUUUGGGGGGCAGUGAUGGAGCCGGUGGCCGAGGGGCUGCGUAUGGGUUUGCGGUGCAGUGACGGAGCCGGUGGCCGAGGGGCCAGGUCUGGGGUUCAGUGACGGAGCUGGUGGCCGAGGGCCCAGGUUUGGGGGGCAGUGAUGGAGCCGGUGGCCGAGGGGCUGCGUAUGGGUUUGCGGUGCAGUGACGGAGCCGGUGGCCGAGGGGCCAGGUCUGGGGUUCAGUGACGGAGCUGGUGGCCGAGGGCCCAGGUUUGGGGGGCAGUGAUGGAGCCGGUGGCCGAGGGGCUGCAUAUGGGUUUGCGGUGCAGUGACGGAGCCAGUGGCCGAGGGGCUGGGUUUGGGGGGCAGUGACGAAGCCGGUGGCUGAGGGGCUGGGUAUGGGUUUGGGGUGCAGUGACAGAGCUGGUGGCCGAGGGGCUGGGUUUGGGGGGCAGUGAUGGAGCCAGUGGCCGAGGGGCUGCGUCUGGGGGGCAGUGACGGAGCUGGUGGCCGAGGGGCCAGGUUUGGGGGGCAGUGACGAAGCCGGUGGCCGAGGGGCUGGGUAUGGGUUUGGGGGGCAGUGACGGAGCUGGUGGCCGAGGGGCCAGGUUUGGGGGGCAGUGACGGAGCCGGUGGCUGUGGGGCAGAGUUUGAGGUGCUGGAUGUGCACCCGUACACAGCAGCUGCCUGGCCCCACCUAGGCCUUGUGGUCCAGGUCGGCGG